RNAcentral lists this ribosomal RNA (266 nucleotides) under uncultured Staphylococcus sp. RNAcentral's name for it is "partial 16S ribosomal RNA". It matches the Rfam family "Bacterial small subunit ribosomal RNA", at positions 96 to 355 of the family's 1533-position model. The record is from RNAcentral. Lineage: Bacteria; Bacillati; Bacillota; Bacilli; Caryophanales; Staphylococcaceae.
CGGCGGACGGGUGAGUAACACGUGGGUAACCUACCUAUAAGACUGGGACAACUUCGGGAAACCGGAGCUAAUACCGGAUAAGAUAUCGAACCGCAUGGUUCGAUAGUGAAAGAUGGUUUUGCCAUCACUUAUAGAUGGACCCGCGCCGUAUUAGCUAGUUGGUGAGGUAACGGCUCACCAAGGCAACGAUACGUAGCCGACCUGAGAGGGUGAUCGGCCACACUGGAACUGAGACACGGUCCAGACUCCUACGGGAGGCAGCAGCC